AUUACAACUUUCAACAACGGAUCUCUUGGUUCUGGCAUCGAUGAAGAACGCAGCGAAAUGCGAUAAGUAGUGUGAAUUGCAGAAUUCAGUGAAUCAUCGAAUCUUUGAACGCACAUUGCGCCCCUUGGUAUCCCGAGGGGCAUGCCUGUUCGAGCGUCAUUUCACCAUUCAAGCCUGGCUUGGUGUUGGGCGACGUCCCCUGUGGGGACGCGCUUCGAAACGCUCGGCGGCGUGGCACCGGCUUUAAGCGUAGCAGAUCUUUCGCUUCGAAAGUCGGGGCCCCGUCUGCCGGAAGACCUACUCAAGG
RNAcentral lists this ribosomal RNA (307 nucleotides) under uncultured Cenococcum. RNAcentral describes it as "eukaryotic LSU rRNA". The stretch from base 6 to 159 matches the Rfam family "5.8S ribosomal RNA". Rfam says of the family: 5.8S ribosomal RNA (5.8S rRNA) is a component of the large subunit of the eukaryotic ribosome. Lineage: Eukaryota; Fungi; Ascomycota; Dothideomycetes; Gloniales; Gloniaceae. The record is from RNAcentral.